CCUGGGGAGUACGGCCGCAAGGUUAAAACUCAAAUGAAUUGACGGGGGCCCGCACAAGCGGUGGAGCAUGUGGUUUAAUUCGAUGCAACGCGAAGAACCUUACCUACUCUUGACAUCCAGAGAACUUUCCAGAGAUGGAUUGGUGCCUUCGGGAACUCUGAGACAGGUGCUGCAUGGCUGUCGUCAGCUCGUGUUGUGAAAUGUUGGGUUAAGUCCCGCAACGAGCGCAACCCUUAUCCUUUGUUGCCAGCGGUUCGGCCGGGAACUCAAAGGAGACUGCCAGUGAUAAACUGGAGGAAGGUGGGGAUGACGUCAAGUCAUCAUGGCCCUUACGAGUAGGGCUACACACGUGCUACAAUGGCGUAUACAAAGAGAAGCGACCUCGCGAGAGCAAGCGGACCUCAUAAAGUACGUCGUAGUCCGGAUUGGAGUCUGCAACUCGACUCCAUGAAGUCGGAAUCGCUAGUAAUCGUAGAUCAGAAUGCUACGGUGAAUACGUUCCCGGGCCUUGUACACACCGCCCGUCACACCAUGGGAGUGGGUUGCAAAAGAAGUAGGUAGCUUAACCUUCGGGAGGGCGCUUACCACUUUGUGAUUCAUGACUGGGGUGAAGUCGUAACA
Molecule: ribosomal RNA, 621 nt
Filed under: Serratia marcescens
Lineage: Bacteria; Pseudomonadati; Pseudomonadota; Gammaproteobacteria; Enterobacterales; Yersiniaceae
Description: bacterial SSU rRNA
Rfam family: Bacterial small subunit ribosomal RNA
Source: RNAcentral